CCUACGGGAGGCAGCAGUGGGGAAUUUUCCGCAAUGGGCGAAAGCCUGACGGAGCAAUACCGCGUGAGGGAGGAAGGCUCUAGGGUUGUAAACCUCUUUUCUCAGGGAAGAACAAAAUGACGGUACCUGAGGAAUAAGCAUCGGCUAACUCCGUGCCAGCAGCCGCGGUAAUACGGAGGAUGCAAGCGUUAUCCGGAAUGAUUGGGCGUAAAGCGUCCGCAGGUGGCAUUGCAAGUCUGCUGUCAAAGGUCAGGGCUCAACCCUGAAAAGGCAGUGGAAACUGAAAUGCUAGAGUGCGGUAGGGGUAGAGGGAAUUCCCGGUGUAGCGGUGAAAUGCGUAGAGAUCGGGAAGAACACCAGUGGCGAAGGCGCUCUACUAGACCGCAACUGACACUCAUGGACGAAAGCUAGGGGAGCGAAUGGGAUUAGAUACCCUGGUAGUC
This 443-nucleotide ribosomal RNA is filed under the name Chroococcidiopsis sp. RQEC. RNAcentral describes it as "bacterial SSU rRNA". It matches the Rfam family "Bacterial small subunit ribosomal RNA", at positions 338 to 795 of the family's 1533-position model. The record is from RNAcentral. Lineage: Bacteria; Bacillati; Cyanobacteriota; Cyanophyceae; Chroococcidiopsidales; Chroococcidiopsidaceae.